UUUUCGAUGGACAAACAGGCGCCACAUAUAAUUUUUUACAUCAAAAUUCCCCAUGUGAAUCACACUUCCAACCAACACAACCCACUGCACAAGAGCCAAGGAGGCGAGAUUCUCUUUCACGCUUCUUCUUCUUCUUCUUCUUCUUCUUCUUCUUCUUCCUAUUUCCGAGGGCCUUUUAUGGUGGUUUACGGUGAAUAAGGACAUUCGAGGAUGUGAGGCUACGGUUUGGGGCGAAUCUGGAGGUGGGUAUCUAGUAAAUUGAGAUUUCUCCAUCGGAGAUUUGUUUUGGUUGAAGGCGGUAGAAAUGGAGGAUAAGGACAUUUACGCCAAGGAACUGGAUGUCGCUGUAAGAGUUGUGCACAUGGCGUGUUCUCUGUGCCGGAGAGUGCAAGAGAGGGUGGUUUCAACGCGUGGUGAUCAGGUGAAGUCUAAGGAUGAUGACUCUCCUGUUACCGUUGCAGAUUGGAGCGUUCAAGCAGCUGUUAGCUGGAUAUUGUCAACAAACUUUGGAUGUGAAAAUGUCUCCAUUGUUGCCGAGGAAGAUGUUCAGACUCUCUCCAAUUCUGAGUCAUCUGGUUUGCUGGCAGCCGUUGUCAAUACCGUGAAUGAAUGCUUGGGUGAAGCACCAAAGUAUGGACUUCAGAGUCCAAAGAGAGCACUGAAUACCCAAGAAAUUCUGGAGGCCAUCAGCCGAUGCAACUCAACUGGUGGCCGCACUGGAAGGCAUUGGGUACUUGACCCUGUUGAUGGAACAUUGGGAUUUGUGCGAGGGGAUCAGUAUGCUGUAGCUUUAUCAUUGCUUGAAGAGGGAAAAGUUGUUAUUGGAGUCCUUGGGUGCCCUAAUUACCCAAUGAAAAAAGAAUGGCUGAAGUAUCAUCAUCGAUACUAUGAAACCAUGUCAAAGCUUUCUCCAACUUCUGAUACAUGGGAAAAGGGAUGCGUGAUGUAUGCAAGGAGAGGCACUGGCAAGGCAUGGAUGCAGCCAUUGAUCUAUGGAGACCAGAAACUUGAAUGGCCAAAUUCUGCAAGACUGCUUCAGGUUUCUUCAAUUAAUGAUCCAGCACUGGCAACAUUCUGUGAACCAGUGGAGAAGGCAAACUCUAAUCAUUCCUUCACAGCAGGACUUGCUAACAGCAUGGGGCUUAAAAAGAAGCCUCUAAGGGUCUAUAGCAUGGUCAAAUAUGCAGCCAUAGCUCGGGGAGAUGCUGAGAUCUUUAUGAAGUUUGCAAGGGCAGGCUACAAAGAGAAAAUAUGGGAUCAUGCUGCUGGUGUUGUGAUUGUAGAAGAGGCUGGUGGUGUGGUUACUGAUGCAGGAGGGAGACCUCUGGACUUCUCAAAAGGAGUAUACUUGGAAGGCCUUGACCGUGGCAUAAUUGUUUGUUCUGGUCCCAGUUUGCAUGAGAAAAUCGUAGGGGCUGUUUAUGCUAGUUGGGACUCUUCCAAUCUUUGAGGCAUUCGCAUUUUGGCAAGUACAUUAAUUUUGACUUAAUGUGGGGCCUAAUAACAUGGGCAAGAAAACAGCUGAAGCACUCGCUGUCAAAAGCCUCGCCGACAGAUUUUGACUACACUUCUGUUUAUUUAUGCUACGUGUUUGUGAAGUCAAUCUUGCAGCAGUUUUUACCCUGCCGUCACAUUAUUUUUUGCAGAUUGGAUCAGGGAAGAAAUUGCUUGCUUGGGUAAUGUGUUUGGUCCUUUUUUGUACCCCAGACAAUCCUAUUCAUGUUUUCAAAUGGAAAUAUACUUAAACAAGGUCUUUCUUCCUUUUUUUUCCUGUUCCCUCGAGAUGGAUUGCGCCAUUGAAUUUAGCCUAAAAAGAAGGCAGAGUCUAGUAAAUUCUGUCUGACCAUGUUAAGCCAGAAUUAAAAGCUUUGUAUUAACUUAUUCCAGGUUCUGUGAGUGAAUGGGAAUUAUGGGCAAGCCCAUUACAGCCCGUAUAUCACUUCCAGCUUUUGAUGACCUUGAGAAAUUCAACAGUCUCCCAGUCUUCCCUGGAA
Molecule: RNA transcript, 1994 nt
Organism: Carica papaya (papaya)
Lineage: Eukaryota; Viridiplantae; Streptophyta; Magnoliopsida; Brassicales; Caricaceae
Gene: HL
Gene name: HAL2-like protein
Source: RefSeq, a predicted model, not a curated record